GAGAGGGAGGGUCGUUGGAGGGCGACGCCAAGGCUCUCAGCUACAGUCACAUCCCCCCCGACUGAGGGCUUCCAGUCUUCCAGUGUGGAGGUUCUGCGUACUGAACCUUCAGCACAACACGAAAUUUUGAAAAGAAUAUGGAGAGACUCUCUGACAUUCUUUCCUCAUGUCCUCC
Molecule: long non-coding RNA, 175 nt
Organism: Notothenia coriiceps (black rockcod)
Lineage: Eukaryota; Metazoa; Chordata; Actinopteri; Perciformes; Nototheniidae
Exons: 3
Source: RefSeq, a predicted model, not a curated record